UAGCUUAGUUGGGUGAGGGUAACGGGUUCCCCCAAGGCCCCGGAUGCCAUAGCCGACCUUGAGAGGGGGAUUCGGCCCCACCUGGGGACUGAGACACGGCCCCAGAUUCCUACGGGAAGCAAGCAGUAGGGAAUUUUUCGGCAAUGGACGAAAAGUCUGACCGAGCCACCGCCGCGUGAAUGAAGAAAGGUUUUCGGAUCGUAAAAAUUCUGUUGUUAGAGAAGAACAAGGACGUUAGUAACUGAACGUCCCCCUGACGGUAUCUAACCAGAAAGCCCCGGCUAACUACGUGCCAGCAGCCGCGGUAAUACGUAGGUGGCAAGCGUUGUCCGGAUUUAUUGGGCGUAAAGCGAGCGCAGGCGGUUUCUUAAGUCUGAUGUGAAAGCCCCCGGCUCAACCGGGGAGGGUCAUUGGAAACUGGGAGACUUGAGUGCAGAAGAGGAGAGUGGAAUUCCAUGUGUAGCGGUGAAAUGCGUAGAUAUAUGGAGGAACACCAGUGGCGAAGGCGGCUCUCUGGUCUGUAACUGACGCUGAGGCUCGAAAGCGUGGGGAGCAAACAGGAUUAGAUACCCUGGUAGUCCACGCCGUAAACGAUGAGUGCUAAGUGUUGGAGGGUUUCCGCCCUUCAGUGCUGCAGCAAACGCAUUAAGCACUCCGCCUGGGGAGUACGACCGCAAGGUUGAAACUCAAAGGAAUUGACGGGGGCCCGCACAAGCGGUGGAGCAUGUGGUUUAAUUCGAAGCAACGCGAAGAACCUUACCAGGUCUUGACAUCCUUUGACCACUCUAGAGAUAGAGCUUUCCCUUCGGGGACAAAGUGACAGGUGGUGCAUGGUUGUCGUCAGCUCGUGUCGUGAGAUGUUGGGUUAAGUCCCGCAACGAGCGCAACCCUUAUUGUUAGUUGCCAUCAUUUAGUUGGGCACUCUAGCGAGACUGCCGGUGACAAACCGGAGGAAGGUGGGGAUGACGUCAAAUCAUCAUGCCCCUUAUGACCUGGGCUACACACGUGCUACAAUGGGAAGUACAACGAGUCGCUAGACCGCGAGGUCAUGCAAAUCUCUUAAAGCUUCUCUCAGUUCGGAUUGCAGGCUGCAACUCGCCUGCAUGAAGCCGGAAUCGCUAGUAAUCGCGGAUCAGCACGCCGCGGUGAAUACGUUCCCGGGCCUUGUACACACCGCCCGUCACACCACG
RNAcentral lists this ribosomal RNA (1190 nucleotides) under Enterococcus faecalis. RNAcentral's name for it is "bacterial SSU rRNA". It matches the Rfam family "Bacterial small subunit ribosomal RNA", at positions 242 to 1406 of the family's 1533-position model. Lineage: Bacteria; Bacillati; Bacillota; Bacilli; Lactobacillales; Enterococcaceae. The record is from RNAcentral.